Molecule: long non-coding RNA, 689 nt
Organism: Cannabis sativa
Lineage: Eukaryota; Viridiplantae; Streptophyta; Magnoliopsida; Rosales; Cannabaceae
Exons: 2
Source: RefSeq, a predicted model, not a curated record
UUGAAUAGUCACAUGUAACAUUGUCUUUAAAUGUGGUCCAUGAUCCAUGGUAGAAGGACUACUAAUAAUUAAAGUUAGUGAAGAAUUUAUUUUCUUUUUUAUGUGCUAAAAUAAGAUUUUUUUUUUCUUUUUUUCAAAAGAAAAUUAAAUGAAUAAAACUACUAUUCACAAAUCUUAUCGCGAGUCUCAAGUAGUAGGCUAUAUAAAUAGAUGAUGAUGGCGUUAAAAGAAGUACUCAUAUCCUCAAAUAAGAAUAUACCAUAUUUAUUACCUAACCACACACACUUCUCUUCUCUCUUUCUUUACUCACAAAAAGGCCUCUCACUCACUCAAAUUGAUGAAUAUAAUGUGGUCUUUUCUUCUCAAAAAUGGAACACCAUUGCUGGAGUAUUCAGAGGCAAACUCCAAUAAGAAUUCGCAGAGCACGUGAAGUAUAUUCAUGGAAUACUCAUUUGAGCAAGAUAAUACAACUCACUUGUAUUUUUGAAGGUCAAGAAGUUUUUAUGGCUUCACAACCUCGUCUUCGGACCUUCAAAUUCAACUAUCCUAUAGAUGUUUUUUUUAUUAAUUACGCAAAUUAAUAUAUUAUUAAAAUUAAGAAGUUAAUAUUUAUGUAAACGUAUAUUUAGAAGAUUAAGUUUUUCAAAAGAAAAUAAAAUAGCUCUACUAGUGUCUUGCCCGGCCAAAAA